Carassius carassius (crucian carp) is the source of this 662-nucleotide non-coding RNA. The record is from the annotation of a RefSeq genome assembly. Lineage: Eukaryota; Metazoa; Chordata; Actinopteri; Cypriniformes; Cyprinidae.
GUAUUUUAAAAAGAUGAGCUCAGUAUCUUAGAUAAACACACUGCUGUGUUUGGAAGUAAAAACGUACUGUACAUAAAGCAGUCAGUGACUUAGUAAAUGUAGUUUUAAUAAUGAGGUUUAAUUUAAAUGUGUAAAGUGUUUGUGUAGUUUGCAUAUUGUAGACAGUAAUAUCAGCUGUAGUGAUGUUGAAUAAGAUGAAUGAUUAGAUGGUUAUGAUUUUAACUGCACUCCUCAUGUCUGCUGCUGAAAGUCCUGUUGAAAUGCUGUGAAUGCUGCAGGGCAGAAGAGUGCUGGAGCUGCAGUGUGUUUUCUCUGUGUUUGUGAAUGUGUUGUGUUUGUCUCCUGCAGCUGGUCCCACAGUGAAGCCCUCAGUGUCUCUGCUGCCGCCCUCUUCUCUGCAGAUCUCUGGAGACUCAGCCGCACUGCUCUGCCUGCUCAGCUCUUACUCUCCACAGGGGGCGCUGGUGAGCUGGACACUGGACGGCUCAGAGGUCACCGAGGGGGUUGUGACCAGCGCAGAGAGCGAGCAGGACGGCCGCUACAGCCGCAGUAGUGUCCUGACCCUCAGCAAAGCACGCUGGGAAGCGGGAGAGCAGUACGUCUGCAGAGUAACACAUGAUGGAGCUUCUCAUGAGGCCUCGUUCCACAAGAGUCGCUGUUAG